This 5896-nucleotide long non-coding RNA is filed under the name Sus scrofa (pig). RNAcentral describes it as "lncRNA (ENSSSCG00050024837.1)". Lineage: Eukaryota; Metazoa; Chordata; Mammalia; Artiodactyla; Suidae. The record is from RNAcentral.
CAUCUUACAAAUGUAUCAUCUGCACAGCUGCUCCACUUAAUCCACAAAGUGUUUUUCAGAUUGCAUUUUAAAGAAGAAAAAGUAAAUUAGGGUAAACAAUUUACAAAAAUAUAAUCAGAGUAUAAAUAUUACACUCAAAAUAUUUAGAGAAGAAAUUGAAUCAUAAUCUUCAAUUUAUGCUAUGAAAAAAGAGCCAUGGGAAUGCUGUAAUGCCUGCACAGAGGGAAAAAAAUCUCAGGGUUAAGUUAUCUAAAUGAAAGAAAAAGGACAUAAAGUCCUUAUAAGGUUUACUUUUGCUUUGUUUUUGGAGAGUAUGUCAGCAUAGCCAAUAUGCCAAAAUAUAUCUGAAAGCACCUUAACUUUAAUUUAUCUUCAUCUUCUAUCCUUUUUAAAAAGGCUUUCUGCUAGGCAAAUGUCAAUCAAAUUUCAUCUCUUCAAGUUGUCUAACCCUGAAGGAAAAUUAGAUCUCCAGCAAUGAAGAUGGAUUUUUAAAAACAAACAGAGGUGUUUGUUUCCUGAAAAAAAAAUUCUAACAUUCAGAGCAAAUUCUCCAGAAGGAGUUUAAUCAUAUGUGACUUCAAAACUCUAAUUGAAAUCAUUUUUAGAGGCAGAUUCAUAGACGUAGAAAAUAGACUGGUGGUGGCCAAGGGGGAGGUGGGAAUAGAGUGGGAUGGACUGGGAUUUGGGGUGAAUAGAUACAAACUAUUACAUUUAGAAUGGAUAAACAAUAAGGUCCUGCUAUAUAGCACAGGGAACUAUAUCCAAUCUCCUGGGACAGACCAUGAUGGAAAAUAAUAUAAAAAUAAUAUAUGUAUAUGAAUCAUAAUAUAUAUGAGUCACAUUGCUGUAUAGCAGAAAUUGGCACAGCAUUGUAAAUCAACUAUACUUUAAUAAAAAUUAAAUUAAAUUUAAAAAAUUUAUUAUCUGGGGCCAUUUUCAGGUGCUGCAGUAUAAUAAGUAUUUUAAUCAAUUGAUUUCUACUUUUCAGCAUACUUAAUUGCUCAGCCUCUUCAAGAGAUUUAGGUUGUAUGGAGUUGUCCAAUAAAAAUCUGAGAGCCUUCCUUGAGGGGAAAUAUGAAGACAGAAUCAAGCAUGGCCUCAAGGAGAAUAUGGUCAUAGGACUAGCCUGAAAAUAGAAGUGCCAUAGGGGCUUAAAGAUUGAACUAUGAGAGAAAUUCAAAAGGAAGAAGGUAUGAUAAAUUAAGUAUGACAUAUCAUUAAAUGUAUUAACAUUUUAAUUUGUUCCCUUUAAAUAAUCACGUAAUUUUUCAUCGCUUAUAAGAUGAAAUGUUAUAGAUAGGUAGAAAGAGAGAGAGAUAGAUGGAUAGAUAUAAGCUAUUCUAUUGCCAACUGCAACUUAGAAAAAUAAUAACUGAGGACAAUGAAAUUAAAUUAUAUUUUUAAAAUGUAGUGAUAUUAUGUGGUAUUAUCAUUCUAAAAUAUGGAUUCUCAACCUCAACCUUAUUGCUAUUUUGGACCAAAUAAUUCCUUGUUAUGUAUGGGGAGGCAGGAUAAUGUUCUACGUAAUAUAAGAUGUUUACCAGCAUCCUUGGCUAUGCUUUAGAUACUAGUAACGACCCCUUGUCACAAUUGUGAUCACCAAAAAUGUUUCUUGAAAUUGCAGUUUAGAACCAUUGCUCUAAAUCAUCCUUCAGAUAUUAGCUUAGAUUCCACUUUCUCUGGCAAAGCAUUCUUGAGUAUUCCAGAUGAAAUGCAUGGUCUCCACUAUGUGACCCUAGAUGUACCUCUAGAUACCUCUUUCCCACAUAUGCUAAUUAUCUAUUCACUUAUCUGCACCUCCCAGUAGAGUAUUUACUUUGGUCUGGAAAUGCGUUUUAUUCACCAUUGGCUCACCACAUAGUAGACACUAUGCAAAUAUGUUGAGUGAAUCAAUAAAGGAAGAAAGAAAGGAAGAAGGUAGGUAGCUACAGAGGUCAUGAUAGAGGGGAGAGCUGCUUCCUGCAUCACAGGACUCCAGUAGAUGCCAGCAGCACACUCACCCAGAGUUGUGAUAACUGAAAAUGUCUUCAGACAUUGCCAAACAGUCCCUGUGGUAAAAAAUUGUCUCUGGUUGAGAACCAGUGCUCUAAAAGACUAUACAGAGAAAUGAAAAAUAUUUAGUAAAGUUCAGUUUUGAUAUAAAAAGAACAAUACUUUCUUUUGCAGUGCUUUAAUUGUCCUGUUCAAUUAAAAAAAAAAAGUUCUGAUCUGUUGAUGGACAUUUAGGUUGUUUCCAUAUCUUGGCUAUUGUGAAUAUUUGAACGUAUGGGUGCAUGUAUCUUUUGAAUUGCAGUUUUGUCUGGAUAUAUGCCCAGGAGUGGAAUUGCUUAUAAAUUCUAUUUUUAGUUUUCUGAGGAACUUCCAAAGUGUUUUCCAUAGUGGUUGUACCAAUUCAAAUUCUUGACAACAGUAUAGGAGAGUUCCCUUUUCUCCACACCCUCUCCAGAACUUGUUACUUGUAGACUUAUUAAUGAUGGCCAUUCUGACCAGUGUAAGGUGGUACCUCAUUGUAGCAACCCAAAUGUCCAUCGUAAAAUGAAUGGAUUAUGGAGAUAUGGUACAUAUAUACAAUAGACUACCACUCAUCCAUAAAAAGAAUGGAAUAAUGCCAUUCACAGCAACAUGGUCACAACUGAGAUUAUCAUACCAAGUGAAGUAAGUUAAAAAGACAAAGACAAGUAUCAUAUGAUAUCACUUACAUGGGGAAUCUAAAAUAUGAUUCAAAUGAACCUAUCUAUAGAACAGAAACAGACUCACAGACAUGGAGAACAGAAUUGUAGUUGCCGAGGGGGAGGGAGGGGGCUGGACUGAGAGUUUGGGGUUAGUACAUGCAAACUAUUCCAUUUAGAAUGGAUAAGCAAUGAUUAUAUAAAAACAAAAACAAGAACAAAACUCUGAUUCAGUAAUGGUUUUGAGAGGAGAUUUGAAAUGGGAUCCUGACAUCUGGUUGGCUGUAUGAUUUUGGUUAAACAUUCGAGCUUUAAUUUAUCCAUUUCUAAAACUUGGACAAUACUGACUUCUACAUAGAGCCAUUUCAUUUAGCAAAUAUUUACUGUCACUUGCUACCUGCUGGGUAGAUGCUGUGUCUGUUUCUGAAGGUGUGCAACAGUGGUAGGAAUCCUUAUGUUUUUGCACCCAUGGAUUUCAUUCUCGGAAGUGGAAAAAUAUCCAAUUACUUCCCAUAUAAAAUUUAAAUGAAAAAUUCCCAACAGAGUGUCUAUUAAGCUGAACACAGGUCUCCAAGAAUAUAUAAAAAGAGUAGCAUGACACAGACUGGGGUGUCGCUAAGAUUUCCCUGAGGAGCUGGCACUUGAUCUGUGGCUUGAGGGAAAUGCAAACACUAUGUAAGGGGAGCAGAAGGAGAAGGGCAGGGAAAUUAAAUGAGACAACAUAUACGUGAAAACAUCAAGUGGGGGCUGGCCUGAAGCCCUGAAGAAAAUCAGUGAAUACAAACAACAAUGGAUUAUAAAUAAUCAGCACCAUCACUGACAGAGUUGGCAGACAGGAAUAGAACAUCAAGCAAAGUGACAUUUAAUAUCUUUCUCACAACUAAAGAAAAUUCAACGUUCAUUUUACACAAUUUUAAACUAAGAUACACGUGUUCAGAGAAAAAAAAAAAACCGUGAUAAUAAUACUGUCAAAAUAAAAAGUUAUUUUCUGAGUAUAGAAAGUUGGAGCCUUAAACAACGUGACCGUCUGGGUGUACACUUCCCCACUGCAUUGUAUAUUAGGGAAGAAUUCUUGAGUCAGGGAACAACAAGGAUUAGCACACAGUCCCCUUAAUAAAGCCCUACUAUUCCUCUUUGCUAACAGUCUAUGAGAACUCCAGCCAUCAGUUAAACAAAUCAUUUGGCUGCGAACAGACCAUUUACCAUAUGCACGAGUUACUAAUUUCCUGGACAUUAUCAGCCAUUAGCUGGUUUCCUGUGUCCCAGCAAAUGCUGAGGUGAGCCUUGAUUGCCAAGACUGCACAUUUCAGACAUUAAUCCGUGGAUCGUUUCCUACAUCUAAGAUAUAAUAACACUCUAUCUGUGGUUCUUUUGUUAAAUACAUAUGGGAAAGGACCAAAAAGUUCAAGUGAAGGGAAAUGUGUAAAAAAAAAGAAAAGCUAGCAGUAUACUAGUAUAAUUAUGCUGGUGAAAUUAUUGAACAUUUGGGGAACUUAGUGAGAGCAGUAUGAGACUAAACAAUUCACUAAGAAGCUCCCACACAGCAUUUAAGGAUUUCUUUAGAACUCAGAGUGUGUUUCUCUUAGGAUUGAAUAUGCUUCAAAAAUACUAUUUUAGUAGAUGAGCCUAUCAAACUACUAUUCUACAAAGACCAUGUCUACCAGGAUUAUUCUUGGCUAUUUAAUAUCAUUCAAAGUUUUUACUUAACAUUUAUAAUAGUUGGUCUACAUGUUAUAUUUUUUAAAAGCUAGAUUUGAAGAAAAGAAAGAAAGAGGCAAAACUCAACAAAGUGUUUUCUGGAAAAGUCAAACCAGUUUGCAUUUAAACAAUUAACUUGGUAUGAUGCCUAGCUCACUCACAGCAUUCAAAUUCUUAUCUCUCUUCAGUAGAAUGCAUUUGUGAAUAGUUCCUGUUAAUGUUGAAAUGAUAUAAAUAAUAAUGUAAUAAAUAUAGCAUGCACAGAAAAUCAGACUGCAGAAGCCUAUUAUUUAAUUUGUUAUUAUUUAACUUUAGGCUCCAUUUUCAAUCAAAAGGCAGAUGUGCUAUGAAGCUGUCAAACAUUUUUGGAUAUAUUGAGUAGUUGAAUGGGAAAAUGAUGAUAAUUAACAUCUUCUUAAAAAAUAAGUAUUUUGUAGAAGAAUGUGUGCAUAUAUGUAUGCAUACAUUUUUGCAUGUGCAAUUGUAUACCCAAUUUCCUCAAGCCUUUUAAAAUAUGAGUCAUUGAUCUUCAUUUUCAAAUAGCUGGCAUAUGUCUUAAGAAAGAAAGAUGUCCGUCUUAUGCAAUUAUCACCAUCACCUGGAAUGAUAAUCUGAACCAUUUUUGGUGGACUUAGGAAUUAUGUCCGCCCAGAUAAGUGUCUGGGAAAUGAGUUAAAGGAAUAUUCCAGUGCAAAAGUUAGAUGAAGGUCACAAUGAUUUAUCAGAGUUGAAAAUUAUUUUAAUAACCAACACUAGUUACUGAUUUGUUCAUUUAUUCUUUGUUUCUUUCCAAAAAGAUUCAUUAAGUUACUACUAUGUAGUAGCUCUAACAGAUUAUGAAGUCCACUGUAUUUGUGAUUUUGUCCAGUCUGCUUCUUCACUUUAGAAAUUAAAUAACUAGGGGGUGACAUUACAAUAUAAUCAAAUAAGACAACCUUCAUCCAUAACAACAAUUCUGCAUUCAUUCACAGACAAAUGUGCCUUUGUAGGAGCUGUGGGAUCCAGCAAGGGACCUGGAAAGAGUCUUACCCAUCCCUCCAUCAGGUAUGAGGCAUACAGAAUCUAAUCUCAGCUGUAGAUACUGCAGUGGUCCAUCAACUGGCAUCAGUCCCUCUCAGCUAUAUUUCAGGAGCCUCUGGAAACAGUGUCUUAGACAAUCACUCAUGAAUGAUAGAGCCUUAAUUGAAGUCCAGGUUUCUAGUGGAAAAAAUUGCAACACAGAGUUGGAACAAAAGAACACAGAUUUGGACACACUAGAGAGGGUGAAAUAAAGAGUUUGACCUUACUUAUGUUAGCCCUCAUCCAAGGUGGUACAGUUUGGUGCCAAAAGAGACCAUCUCAGCCUGAUUUUACACAAGAGGGAGGGUGAGCAGAUGUGUGAAGGUCCAGCUGUGAAGGACACUACAGAGAGGGCCAUUUUCCCAUUCUCACUCCAAAGUGUUGAGCUGCCUGACUCAGAUUUGAAAAAGGGCUGGGAGAGUAGCAGAGAGGAAUUUCAAAGGGUAUUAAAGUGAUGAGGUUUCUACUAA